RNAcentral lists this ribosomal RNA (496 nucleotides) under uncultured bacterium. Its description in RNAcentral is "partial 16S ribosomal RNA". It matches the Rfam family "Bacterial small subunit ribosomal RNA", at positions 29 to 507 of the family's 1533-position model. The record is from RNAcentral.
AUGAACGCUGGCGGCGUGCCUAAUACAUGCCAGUCGAGCGAACGGACGAGAAGCUUGCUUCUCUGAUGUUAGCGGCGGACGGGUGAGUAACACGUGGAUAACCUACCUAUAAGACUGGGAUAACUUCGGGAAACCGGAGCUAAUACCGGAUAAUAUUUUGAACCGCAUGAUUCAAAAGUGAAAGACGGUCUUGCUGUCACUUAUAGAUGGAUCCGCGCUGCAUUAGCUAGUUGGUAAGGUAACGGCUUACCAAGGCAACGAUGCAUAGCCGACCUGAGAGGGUGAUCGGCCACACUGGAACUGAGACACGGUCCAGACUCCUACGGGAGGCAGCAGUAGGGAAUCUUCCGCAAUGGGCGAAAGCCUGACGGAGCAACGCCGCGUGAGUGAUGAAGGUCUUCGGAUCGUAAAACUCUGUUAUUAGGGAAGAACAUAUGUGUAAGUAACUGUGCACAUCUUGACGGUACCUAAUCAGAAAGCCACGGCUAACUACGUG